GGGAAUCUUCGGCAAUGGACGAAAGUCUGACCGAGCAACGCCGCGUGAGUGAAGAAGGUUUUCGGAUCGUAAAACUCUGUUGUUAGAGAAGAACAAGGAUGAGAGUAGAACGUUCAUCCCUUGACGGUAUCUAAUCAGAAAGCCACGGCUAACUACGUGCCAGCAGCCGCGGUAAUACGUAGGUGGCAAGCGUUGUCCGGAUUUAUUGGGCGUAAAGCGAGCGCAGGCGGUUUCUUAAGUCUGAUGUGAAAGCCCCCGGCUCAACCGGGGAGGGUCAUUGGAAACUGGGAGACUUGAGUGCAGAAGAGGAGAGUGGAAUUCCAUGUGUAGCGGUGAAAUGCGUAGAUAUAUGGAGGAACACCAGUGGCGAAGGCGGCUCUCUGGUCUGUAACUGACGCUGAGGCUCGAAAGCGUGGGGAGCGAACA
RNAcentral lists this ribosomal RNA (426 nucleotides) under uncultured bacterium. RNAcentral describes it as "bacterial SSU rRNA". It matches the Rfam family "Bacterial small subunit ribosomal RNA", at positions 357 to 774 of the family's 1533-position model. The record is from RNAcentral.